RNAcentral lists this ribosomal RNA (419 nucleotides) under uncultured bacterium. Its description in RNAcentral is "bacterial SSU rRNA". It matches the Rfam family "Bacterial small subunit ribosomal RNA", at positions 361 to 772 of the family's 1533-position model. The record is from RNAcentral.
AUCUUCCACAAUGGGCGAAAGCCUGAUGGAGCAACGCCGCGUGGGUGAAGAAGGUCUUCGGAUCGUAAAACCCUGUUGUUAGAGAAGAAAGUGCGUGAGAGUAACUGUUCACGUUUCGACGGUAUCUAACCAGAAAGCCACGGCUAACUACGUGCCAGCAGCCGCGGUAAUACGUAGGUGGCAAGCGUUAUCCGGAUUUAUUGGGCGUAAAGGGAACGCAGGCGGUCUUUUAAGUCUGAUGUGAAAGCCUUCGGCUUAACCGGAGUAGUGCAUUGGAAACUGGGAGACUUGAGUGCAGAAGAGGAGAGUGGAACUCCAUGUGUAGCGGUGAAAUGCGUAGAUAUAUGGAAGAACACCAGUGGCGAAAGCGGCUUUCUGGACAUUAACUGACGCUGAGGCACGAAGGCCAGGGGAGCGAA